AUACUGGCAAGUCGAACGCAUAUCUUUUCCCACCGGAGCUUGCUCCACCGGGGAAAAGAGGAGUGGCGAACGGGUGAGUAACACGUGGGUAACCUGCCCAUCAGAAGGGGAUAACACUUGGAAACAGGUGCUAAUACCGUAUAACAAUCGAAACCGCAUGGUUUCGUUUUGAAAGGCGCUUUACGGUGCCGCUGAUGGAUGGACCCGCGGUGCAUUAGCUAGUUGGUGAGGUAACGGCUCACCAAGGCCACGAUGCAUAGCCGACCUGAGAGGGUGAUCGGCCACAUUGGGACUGAGACACGGCCCAAACUCCUACGGGAGGCAGCAGUAGGGAAUCUUCGGCAAUGGACGAAAGUCUGACCGAGCAACGCCGCGUGAGUGAAGAAGGUUUUCGGAUCGUAAAACUCUGUUGUUAGAGAAGAACAAGGGUGAGAGUAACUGUUCACCCCUUGACGGUAUCUAACCAGAAAGCCACGGCUAACUACGUGCCAGCAGCCGCGGUAAUACGUAGGUGGCAAGCGUUGUCCGGAUUUAUUGGGCGUAAAGCGAGCGCAGGCGGUUUCUUAAGUCUGAUGUGAAAGCCCCCGGCUCAACCGGGGAGGGUCAUUGGAAACUGGGAGACUUGAGUGCAGAAGAGGAGAGUGGAAUUCCAUGUGUAGCGGUGAAAUGCGUAGAUAUAUGGAGGAACACCAGUGGCGAAGGCGGCUCUCUGGUCUGUAACUGACGCUGAGGCUCGAAAGCGUGGGGAGCAAACAGGAUUAGAUACCCUGGUAGUCCACGCCGUAAACGAUGAGUGCUAAGUGUUGGAGGGUUUCCGCCCUUCAGUGCUGCAGCUAACGCAUUAAGCACUCCGCCGGGGAGUACGACCGCAAGGUUGAAACUCAAAGGAAUUGACGGGGGCCCGCACAAGCGGUGGAGCAUGUGGUUUAAUUCGAAGCAACGCGAAGAACCUUACCAGGUCUUGACAUCCUUUGACCACUCUAGAGAUAGAGCUUCCCCUUCGGGGGCAAAGUGACAGGUGGUGCAUGGUUGUCGUCAGCUCGUGUCGUGAGAUGUUGGGUUAAGUCCCGCAACGAGCGCAACCCUUAUUGUUAGUUGCCAUCAUUUAGUUGGGCACUCUAGCAAGACUGCCGGUGACAAACCGGAGGAAGGUGGGGAUGACGUCAAAUCAUCAUGCCCCUUAUGACCUGGGCUACACACGUGCUACAAUGGGAAGUACAACGAGUCGCGAAGUCGCGAGGCUAAGCUAAUCUCUUAAAGCUUCUCUCAGUUCGGAUUGUAGGCUGCAACUCGCCUACAUGAAGCCGGAAUCGCUAGUAAUCGCGGAUCAGCACGCCGCGGUGAAUACGUUCCCGGGCCUUGUACACACCGCCCGUCACACCACGAGAGUUUGUAACACCCGAAGUCGGUGAGGUAACCUUUUGGAGCCA
Molecule: ribosomal RNA, 1430 nt
Filed under: Enterococcus mundtii
Lineage: Bacteria; Bacillati; Bacillota; Bacilli; Lactobacillales; Enterococcaceae
Description: bacterial SSU rRNA
Rfam family: Bacterial small subunit ribosomal RNA
Source: RNAcentral